RNAcentral lists this ribosomal RNA (1341 nucleotides) under uncultured bacterium. RNAcentral's name for it is "bacterial SSU rRNA". It matches the Rfam family "Bacterial small subunit ribosomal RNA", at positions 28 to 1381 of the family's 1533-position model. The record is from RNAcentral.
GAUGAACGCUGGCGGCGUGCUUAACACAUGCAAGUCGAACGGUGAAGCCAAGCUUGCUUGGUGGAUCAGUGGCGAACGGGUGAGUAACACGUGAGCAACCUGCCCUGGACUCUGGGAUAAGCGCUGGAAACGGCGUCUAAUACUGGAUAUGAGACGUGAUCGCAUGGUCGUGUUUGGAAAGAUUUUUCGGUCUGGGAUGGGCUCGCGGCCUAUCAGCUUGUUGGUGAGGUAAUGGCUCACCAAGGCGUCGACGGGUAGCCGGCCUGAGAGGGUGACCGGCCACACUGGGACUGAGACACGGCCCAGACUCCUACGGGAGGCAGCAGUGGGGAAUAUUGCACAAUGGGCGAAAGCCUGAUGCAGCAACGCCGCGUGAGGGAUGACGGCCUUCGGGUUGUAAGCCUCUUUUAGCAGGGAAGAAGCGAAAGUGACGGUACCUGCAGAAAAAGCGCCGGCUAGCUACGUGCCAGCAGCCGCGGUAAUACGUAGGGCGCAAGCGUUAUCCGGAAUUAUUGGGCGUAAAGAGCUCGUAGGCGGUUUGUCGCGUCUGCUGUGAAAUCCCGAGGCUCAACCUCGGGCCUGCAGUGGGUACGGGCAGACUAGAGUGCGGUAGGGGAGAUUGGAAUUCCUGGUGUAGCGGUGGAAUGCGCAGAUAUCAGGAGGAACACCGAUGGCGAAGGCAGAUCUCUGGGCCGUAACUGACGCUGAGGAGCGAAAGGUGGGGGAGCAAACAGGCUUAGAUACCUGGUAGUCCACCCCGUAAACGUUGGGAACUAGUUGUGGGGACCAUUCCACGGUUUCCGUGACGCAGCUAACGCAUUAAGUUCCCCGCCUGGGGAGUACGGCCGCAAGGCUAAAACUCAAAGGAAUUGACGGGGACCCGCACAAGCGGCGGAGCAUGCGGAUUAAUUCGAUGCAACGCGAAGAACCUUACCAAGGCUUGACAUAUACGAGAACGGGCCAGAAAUGGUCAACUCUUUGGACACUCGUAAACAGGUGGUGCAUGGUUGUCGUCAGCUCGUGUCGUGAGAUGUUGGGUUAAGUCCCGCAACGAGCGCAACCCUCGUUCUAUGUUGCCAGCACGUAAUGGUGGGAACUCAUGGGAUACUGCCGGGGUCAACUCGGAGGAAGGUGGGGAUGACGUCAAAUCAUCAUGCCCCUUAUGUCUUGGGCUUCACGCAUGCUACAAUGGCCGGUACAAAGGGCUGCAAUACCGUGAGGUGGAGCGAAUCCCAAAAAGCCGGUCCCAGUUCGGAUUGAGGUCUGCAACUCGACCUCAUGAAGUCGGAGUCGCUAGUAAUCGCAGAUCAGCAACGCUGCGGUGAAUACGUUCCCGGGUCU